AUACGGAGGGGGCUAGCGUUGUUCGGAAUUACUGGGCGUAAAGCGCGUGUAGGCGGAUCGUUAAGUCAGGGGUGAAAGCCCGGGGCUCAACCCCGGAACUGCCCUUGAUACUGGCGAUCUAGAGUCCGUAAGAGGUGGGCGGAAUUCCCGGUGUAGAGGUGAAAUUCGUAGAUAUCGGGAGGAACACCAGUGGCGAAGGCGGCUCACUGGUCCGGCACUGACGCUGAGACGCGAAAGCGUGGGGAGCAAACAGGAUUAGAAACCCUAGUAGUCC
This 274-nucleotide ribosomal RNA is filed under the name uncultured bacterium. Its description in RNAcentral is "partial 16S ribosomal RNA". It matches the Rfam family "Bacterial small subunit ribosomal RNA", at positions 523 to 796 of the family's 1533-position model. The record is from RNAcentral.